RNAcentral lists this ribosomal RNA (516 nucleotides) under Filenchus discrepans. Its description in RNAcentral is "eukaryotic LSU rRNA". It matches the Rfam family "Eukaryotic large subunit ribosomal RNA", at positions 602 to 861 of the family's 3401-position model. The record is from RNAcentral. Lineage: Eukaryota; Metazoa; Nematoda; Chromadorea; Rhabditida; Tylenchidae.
CCGGACCCGCUUCUGGUCGGCGUYGGUCACUGCGACUGGCCGGGUAGUGCAUUUGCAAGUGGAGUGCGCUGAGCGGUGCGGGGCAGCGGUCGGAUCCCCGACAAGAGGCUCCUCCUCGGAGGARAACCCUUCCGGGUGGAARACUGUUUGCUUUGCAUUCAUGGUGAGUGACGGCCUACGGACCCCCUGGCUUUCAUGGCUUCGGCUCGCGGCGGUCGCAUGCGACACGUGCUUGCUAGGGCUAUGUCGGUUGGGCGGUUCUCGUCGCUCGGCUCGGUGUCAGAGUUGGUCAUCUCUCCGACCCGUCUUGAAACACGGACCAAGGAGUUUAACGUAUACGCGAGUCAUUGGGCGGCAAACCCAAAGGCGCAAUGAAAGUGAACGUUGACAUGCGAAGCCGUUAAAGGCCGCAGCAUGACCCCGUCCCGAUCGCUUGCGAUGGGGCGGAGGCAGAGCGUAUGCGCUGAGACCCGAAAGAUGGUGAACUAUUCCUGAGCAGGACGAAGCCAGAGGAAA